AGAGAUAAAAUUUUGGGCCAAAAUUAAUUGAUCUUUCUCAAAUUCUGUAUCCCAAUCUCUUCAGGAAGAGAGACGAACAGUACGAAAACAAGUCGGAUUCCUCACUCGGAGCACACACAAAAACGACCCCGUCAACUUUUCUCUCGUAUCUGAGCAAAAUCCAGUAACCCUUCAACAAUCUUCAUUAGAUACAUACACACACGAACAGAAAAAGGAGCGAGAGUGAGAAUUUGGGAUGACUUUCAUUCGAAAAAUUCGAAAAAUAGAGGGUUUAGGAGAAGAAUAUUAAGAGUUCGAAAAAAAUAAUUUUCUAUAAUUUGUGAUUUGAUUUUCUUCUUCUAAAAUUCUAAAAAACCAGAAAAUGUUUCUGUUUUUAGUUGAAGAAGACUUGACUUCAAGUGUUCGUUUUCUAAAAAAAAAGCUGUUUAUCAUCUUUGAUUUCGGAUUUGGUUUGAAAAAAUGGAUGUGAGCUGAGGUUCGAAGCUGGUUUAAAUCAUCGCCGAGGUGCUGACAGUCCGUUGAGGUUUCUGUUCGAGGUCCGUUGGCUGAUUGGCCUUUACUCCAGUUUUCUCUUCAGUUUUUAGUUGUGUAUCAUGUAUGUACUUUCGAUUCGAAAUGUUGCAAAUGUCGUUGGAUGAGCUAUUAUUGAAAUGUGUAAUAAUUUUUUCCUUUUUUCACUCUGCAAAUUUCAGUAGUCAAGUUAGCUUUUCCUCUGUUUGAUUUUGUCACUAGGUGACGAUUAUAUACUUUAGUUUAAGUAGCUGUUCAAUGAUAUGAUGUUGUUUGACAUUUUGAGUAAUAGUAUUAUGAUUUAAACUGGGUAGUUUGCUUCAGUUUCUA
This 840-nucleotide long non-coding RNA is filed under the name Nicotiana benthamiana. RNAcentral describes it as "long non-coding RNA (NBEN_LNC037404)". Lineage: Eukaryota; Viridiplantae; Streptophyta; Magnoliopsida; Solanales; Solanaceae. The record is from RNAcentral.